Molecule: RNA transcript, 4597 nt
Organism: Glossina fuscipes
Lineage: Eukaryota; Metazoa; Arthropoda; Insecta; Diptera; Glossinidae
Exons: 3
Source: RefSeq, a predicted model, not a curated record
ACGUUUUUUUGAGAACCCGGCCUAGCUCUUGAUCGGUAGAGCGGUUGCCCUCGGCCCGUGAUUCCGCAUCACAAAAAAACAUUAAAUAAUAAUAAAAAGAAAAUAAUUAAUGAAAAAAAAGGUCUUUCAUUUACACUAUAUAAUUUUUUAUUCAUUAAUAGUUUGUGAGGGCCAUUUAUUUAUGAACACUAUUUCAUUUAUUUUCACGCGCAUACCGUUCAGAGUCGAAGAUCACUUGCAAUUCCAACCGCAACCGCUUCUUUAAAACCGAAAAUAACCACACGAGACCAAUUCCCUCCUAUCAAUGAAAGCAACAACUCAACCUCUUUCACGAUCAGUCAAACGAGAAAAAAAACUCACCACCGAAUUUCUUUGCAUGAUUUUUCUCUCCUCUCUUCUCUUUACAUACCUCCCUGAACUUUGCUCGCGGACGUUACAAACUAAAAGACGUGCUUUUUAGCAAAUCCCAUGUUACGAUAUAAAAAGAGUUAGUAUAAAAUCCAGCAUAAGGUGGUACCAGUUAAUAAAGAAUCGUACUUUAUUUCUUUAAUUAUUUAUUUCGGCAUGUUAAAGUCUUCUUAUUGAGUCUCUUUUAGAAGAAAAACCAACUUAAUUGAAAUACAAAUUCUGAGUUAAACGUUGUUGUUCGCUGUUGCUUUUGAUGGCCACUAUGGCAACUCAAUCGGUAGAGCAUGAGACUCGUAAUCUCAGAGCGGUGGGGCACAUCUCAUUGGAGUUAGCAAAGCCUUUUUCCCUUUUUCUCGGGGCAGUUCGUCGGAUACCAGGGUUUUUGUCCUUAAAUUACGAUUCUAUAGAUAAUAUUUUAUCCUCAGUCAAAAACUUAUGUGAUCUACUGAGGAAUUUUUUAUUAAAAUUGUAUUCAGGCACUUGAACCAGAAAGUUAACUUCACGAACAUUUUAAAUCUAUAUUGCCUCAAGAUAAACAAAUGUUUAAAUCUCAGUAAACCUGAUUAACGUUCUGUUUUGAAAGUUAGCUCCUAAUUACGAAUAAUAAUUAUUGCUUGUGAAAUAAUAGAAAAAUCUUUUUAUAGUUUUUCCCAAAUACGGAAACUAAAAUUUAACCGCGUAGUGAGAAAUUUAAAAAAAAACAGGAAUUUAAAAAAAAUGUUGUGAGCAGAGUUUUGCUAAACAUAACGAGGAGUGUUUGUAGCGUGUUUUCUUUCACAGCAACGUCCCUAUAUUUUGAAUUACAGUGAGAAAAUUUAACUUCAUAGGAUAGUAAAAGCAGCGAACAUUUUAAAUUUAUAUUGCCCAAAAUAAAUAAAUAUCUAAAUCUCAGUAAAUUUGAUUAACGUUCUGUUUUGGAAAGUUAGCUCUAAAUUACGAUUAAUAGAGAGUACUAGUGAAGCAUCAAAGAAAAAAAAGGAACACAACGAAUUUGAGAAGUAGUAAUUGAAUGAUGUGAAGGUUACUUUUAUCGACCAACUAAUCGUUAGCGGACGGAGCAAUAAUAACAAGAGCAGCGGGGGUAACAGCAGCUACCACGGGAUUUUUUUCACUCAUCGACGGGCGCCGAACCCCUGCACGUACCAGCGACGAUACCGGGGCCGAACAGCAAAAUGGCACCGGCAUUAUUUCAAGAUUAUAUGCUCUUCUUGCAAGACCUGAUGCGUCAUACCGCCAUAACGGAAGAGCAAAAAUUAGAACGUAUCUACAUGAAUGUGCAGCCCGAUUACCUGUGGUACAUACGGCGCCAAGACUACAGCCUGGUAGAGUCGGGGUACCUUGCGGUCUACGAGACCAACCACGCGCACUAGAAGGACAACAUGGCGAUCGAUUUCGAAGAAGCAGCGUCCAUUACAAGUCUUCACCCACCGCCAGCAACCUGGUCAACAAAUUGCGAGUCCUAUAGUGGCCAAUGUUGACACAUGACCCGUACCUACCGGCCAAGGAAUCGACGUACCGAUGUCGGAAAGCAAAGAUAUAGGAGUGGUGAUAGGGCUCUCCCUUAAGAAGAGGCAGACGCCACGCCCCAUCUUGGAACAACAUUCAAGUUUUCCUCAACAGCAAGCAAUUGUGACAACAUCACGGGCGACACCACAACAACACCAGCAAAUCACAGUCAAACUUAUCAAAGGCGAAUCGACUAUAUACCCCGACAAAUAUCGCAUUGCAGUUUUAGUAACCAUGUUAAACAACAGCAGCACCAGCAACAACAACAGCGAACACCAACAGAGAUCAGUAUCCGAUUCAUACAGCGGAUGCCAACUUGUAGUAAUGUUAAUAUCGUCACUUCUUCGCAACAAUAUAACGAUCAUAACAAUAACAUCACAACAACUACAGCGAAUUCAACCCAUGCUGCCCAUGCAGCAAAGGCAAUAUGAACAGCAAAAUGCUAACAAUAAUUUUAACGGCUGCUCAUCGAUUGGAACAGGCGAUCUGACAUCAGGUAUGCCUCCAGCAAUAGCGAUCGUAGAGAAUGGAACAGCAGGAAACAUGAAAGUCACUAGUAAUGAAAACAAAAUUUUGUUAUGAAACAAAAGUUAGACAAAUUUAUCCAUAUUCACCUAUACCAAGCGGUAUGAAGGGAAAUAUCAACAAUAGUAGUAAUCAAUUGCAAAAGCAAUCUGCCUUGCAUAACCAACCAUCACUGCAAGCGAACUUUAUAAAGCAGGCACUACCUUCACCUGUGCCACCCCACGUUUAGUUUAUGAAAUCACUGACUUGAUAGAAAAGGCCACAAAGUUUCUGAAAGGCAACGGCAACGACGCAAAACGUUAGAUUAUGUGUCUAAUAAUAUGGGCAAUGAAUUGUCUUAUAACGGCUGCGACUAAGUUAGUUGAGGGGGCCGUUGCUCACUACCCGCCUUAACAUUCCAAUAACAUUGGCUGCAAUUCCAACUAUGGUCGUUUUAACCAGUUGCAUUUACAAUCGAAUUUGCGGACAAGUGCAGUUGUUUGAAAAGAUCAAUUGUGCUGUGAAUGCUGCAAGCUGACAAAAAAAAGUCAUCGAAUUUUCGUCAAGCACAACUAAAGAAUGAUGCGGCGAAAUCAUACUAAUACGUCGAAACAGAAACUAAUCUUUAAUUUAAAGCGGUCUAUUAAUAAUGUAGUGGGGAUACUCCAGUAGACUGAUCAAGACUUCUCGCUAUAUGCCGCUGGCUUCACGUUGAUGAAAACUAAACAAUUGUGUUUAAUAGUGAUUGUCGCGCAACAGUCUACUAAAAAUGUCUUCCGGUAUGUACAUCCUCGUCUAAGAAGAAUGAUAAUUUUACCCCGCCAAAAACACGGCACUACGAUGAAAUUUAAAUUAAAAAAAAUUAUAAAAGAUUGACAGGUAAAUAAUUGAUGUUUCGUUCAAUCUGCUAAUUGAGAACAUUUUUUUGUAAUUUUUAAGGUCUAUCACAUUAAAUGAAAUGAAAUUUACAAAACAAAACGACGUUAAUUUCAUUCUUUACGCUAACCUAAAGCACGAUUACUUGUCUCAACCGGGCAUCGUUUGACUAUACUCAAACACCAUAGUUUAUCAUUUCUUAUGUCGUUAAGUAGCUUUGUUCUUCUUCUCUUUGCAUUUCUCGCUCUUACGAGUUUGUUGCUCCACUAACAUGAGACCUAGCCACCAAUUAUUUCUUCAAAUAAUUUCUCACUUAACAUUCGAUUUUCUGCAUAUGCGUAUAAAGGAGAGUGGCACUGUCGACACUUUUGUACCACACCGAUGGUCUUAAGUUUAUUUAAGUUCACAAGUUAUAAAUAUUUUUAAUAAUCAUUUCAAUAGUUGUAUCUUGCGCCUAAAAAAGUACUUCAUAUGAAACUGAGAGUUCUUGCUUACCUACUACUUUUACCUCACUUAAUUCACAUGACGAGCAAACCGGUUGCGAAAAACGGAAGCAGGAAAUAGAAAUAUGCUCCUCCCGUCGUUACCAGUCUGUGUUGCCAAUUAAUCAGAAUCUCAUUCAAAGCUUUUAUCGUAGCUUCGAACCAUAACCAUCCUUGUUUUACAUUAUGCGGUCUACUUUGUGGUUCAUACAAGGAGGCUACUAAACUUAAAAUACAUAAGAGAUUUAAUCUUAAAUUUAAUUUAAGGAAGAAAAUUCGACAAUAUUUAACUUGACUGAUAUCAACUUUCCAUUGGCUUUCCUUCCACAAUGAAAUACUUCGUACGAAAACAAACCUGUUUACUUAAAUAUAUGCUCAGAUAGGCUUGUGUGUUGUAAUGGUUUAAUCAUGCUUGGUACGGCCACCAUGUAAUUAUAUUGGUUAAAUAGACAUUGCCUGGAAGAAGACGCGGGUACUCGCUGUGAUUGUCUCUAGUAUUCAUAAGUGAGCUAGAGUGCGACAUCCUAAAUUAAGAAAUGUGGGAGUAAUGUUGCAUACAAAAAUUAGGAGCAACCUGUUUCUAUUUGAAUUUUAAAAAGCCCAUUCGCAUACACCGACCAUUAGUUUGGUAAUGACGUUACAAAGAUUGUUGUUGUAUUCUGAUUUCUGAUUGGGUUGCGUAGGAACGGCAACACCCACCAAUUUGAUUCCACUUGCCCUUUGCGUCGUCUGAAGUGAUGGUACGCUCGCUCUGUUGCUGGUGGUGUUGACACUUGCUGGGUUUCGUUGCAAGACCUGCAAGAAAAAAUCGUUAGUAGCGU